Long non-coding RNA from Strigops habroptila (Kakapo), 1361 nucleotides. RefSeq lists it as uncharacterized. The transcript has 2 exons. The record is from RefSeq and is a predicted model, not a curated record. NCBI's taxonomy places the organism in Eukaryota, Metazoa, Chordata, Aves, Psittaciformes, Psittacidae.
GUGUGUGUUUGUGGGGUUUUUUGUUUUGUUGGGUUUUUUGUAAUCUCUGCUUUCCCAGCAUCUCCAGUCCAGAGGCAUUGAUCAGGAUACCGGUGCAGUCACAGAAUAUUUACUUGUUCAGGAGCACUUAUCCUGAAGUGAUCUUUAAUCCACAGUCUAAACAGACCAUCUAGGGCAAGGUAGCUGCUAAUAUGCUCUUUUUAAUUCUUAAACCACCUGGCUUCGAUAUAUUUGAGGGAGGAAUAUAAAAGGUGUCAUUGCACAGGGUUUUUAAUGUGUUUACUUGGGGUUAAAUUCAUGGCCUAAACAGCUGUGAAUUUAAACAUCUAAAGUGCUUUGGUGGAAUGAGACUCCCUUAACAAAGGAAAGCUUAUCUAUAUAUUUAAGAUUAUUUUUGAAGACCCCACUGAUAAAGUUGUAGAGUGAAAACAUGCUUUGCACACUGCUUGUUUUGGGCGUUAUAUAUUGGAGGCUGUUGCUGUUGACCUUGGUCCUGAUAGGAGGGAUAAAGGUAUGAAUGACAUAGCUGAAGAAUGCCAUCAGCACAGGAUGGGUUAGAAGUAGUUGCUAAUGGUCUUUACUUACCUAGAAAAGUGGCAAUUGCUUCAACAGCUCCAUUGUACACUGCAGAGCUGUGAGAGGGGGCUCUGAAGUCCCACAGCACUUGGAUGUAAUUCAGCACCUGGUUAAAGCCUGCUGUAGCCAGAGCCCACCACAGGGACCAGUAGAGAAGUUUCCUAGAGCUGUAGCAGUCCCUCAAGUCCUUGCUCAGCUGCACCAGAACCCUGAGCACAUGAUUCUGUGGCUUGGCAUUACCAGUCUGCUGUUCAAGUGCUGGUGCCCUGUCAGCAGAUGGAGAGCUCUUGUCCUCUUGGCAGCUCGGUGGCCUGUCGGAGCUGACUGUAGCCACCGUUUUCUCUAUUCCUGGGAGAGUUUCCGAGAUCUCUUUCCUGUGGAAGAACAUACUCUUUUGGGGCAUUGGGAGGAAAAACGAACACAGGAAUGCCAGGGACACAGAAGCCAAAGUGAUGGCGUGAAGGUGAAAGUAGGAUACAUCUGCUAAGGACACGAGCAGCUGUCCCAGCACGGCAGCAACUGUGGCUGCAACCAGAGUGAUACUUCUGCAAUAGCUCGUCACCCUCUGAUAGUGAUCGCUGCUGACAACACUGUAGAUGUAGGCGUAAUAGGCGACCUCGGCGGCUGUCACCAUGCCGUAGAAGAAUUCCACUAUCUGCAUGGCCACCACUCCAUGUGCGAAGAGGAGCAAGAGCCACGUGAUGAUGAAGCUGAUGCCCUGGAGGAGGAGGACGGGCUUGUAGCGCACAUAGUCUGUAAUGAGGAAGACUGGGAGAAGGAGUGCA